RNAcentral lists this long non-coding RNA (231 nucleotides) under Homo sapiens (human). RNAcentral describes it as "LHRI_LNC1644.1". Lineage: Eukaryota; Metazoa; Chordata; Mammalia; Primates; Hominidae. The record is from RNAcentral.
CUCUCGUGCCCGCACGUGCGUGUCUCGGUCAGUAGCCCUGCGCUUCUCCUUCACUCUCGGCGGUUCAGGAGGCUCUGCCGCAGCCGGGGCCCUCCUGUGACCUGCAUGUACUGGGGGAUUCGCAGGGAGGAUGUCGGGACACCCCGGAAGCUGGGAAAUGGUGAGUUGCGCCGCCGGGGGUCUGGAGAAGGGAAGGGGCUGUGGCGGCCCCGGGCCCCGGGCUCCCAGCGG